Molecule: long non-coding RNA, 508 nt
Organism: Maniola jurtina (meadow brown)
Lineage: Eukaryota; Metazoa; Arthropoda; Insecta; Lepidoptera; Nymphalidae
Exons: 2
Source: RefSeq, a predicted model, not a curated record
AGGGGGGUGCAGCUUCCCUAUAUUGGCACAUGAAAAAAAUUUGCAUUGAAAGUGCUGCCAUCUAUUUUUGUAGUUUUGAAACGGAACUUACAUAAAGUAUGCGUGAAACGAUUAGUCAUAGACAUAGAUAACACCUAAAAACCUGAGAGUCAUAGAGUAAAGUAAUAUGGCGAUUCGUUAUUUUUCAAAUCGUCCAAAUAAAAUAUUUCUUUUCGUUCGUGGGUGCUUCGUGGUUUCAUUGUGUUCUUUGCUAUUCUCUGACUAAAUUUAACGGAUUGUGCUUGUUUUAUUGACUUGAUAUCUCCUAUAAACGAUUGACUAACACUGUGUAUACUGGAACUUGUUGCUAUUGCUUAACGAUUGACCAACGCUGUGCACACUGGAACCUGGAACUUUUGCGAUUUGGAUUUCGGAUUUCUCAAUUAUUAUACUUUCAAAAUGCGACAAAAAUACAAGCUUUAAAUUAUUACUAUAAACAUAAGAGGAAAUAAACAUAUCAAAUAAUAAA